UACGGGGGGGGCAAGCGUUGUUCGGAAUUACUGGGCGUAAAGGGCUCGUAGGUGGCCAACUAAGUCAGACGUGAAAUCCCCAGGCUCAACUUGGGAACUGCGUCUGAUACUGGAUGGCUUGAAUUCGGGAGAGGGAUGCAGAAUUCCAGGUGUAGCGGUGAAAUGCGUAGAUAUCUGGAGGAAUACCGGCGGCGAAGGCGGCAUCCUGGACCGAUAUUGACACUGAUGAGCGAAAGCUAGGGGAGCAAACGGG
RNAcentral lists this ribosomal RNA (253 nucleotides) under uncultured bacterium. Its description in RNAcentral is "partial 16S ribosomal RNA". It matches the Rfam family "Bacterial small subunit ribosomal RNA", at positions 524 to 776 of the family's 1533-position model. The record is from RNAcentral.